GACGAACGCUGGCGGCGUGCCUAAUACAUGCAAGUCGAACGCUGAAGGAGGAGCUUGCUUCUCUGGAUGAGUUGCGAACGGGUGAGUAACGCGUAUGUAACCUGCCUGGUAGCGGGGGAUAACUAUUGGAAACGAUAGCUAAUACCGCAUAAGAGUAGAUGUCGCAUUACAUUUGCUUAAAAGUUGCAAUUGCAUCACUACCAGAUGGACCUGCGUUGUAUUAGGUAGUUGGGGAGGUAACGGCCCACCAAGGCAAAGAUACAGAGCCGACCUGAGAGGGUGGAUGGGCACACUGGGAACGAGACAACGCCCAGACCUCCUCGGGGAGGCGCCGUAGGGGAACUUCGGCAAUGGACCGAAGGCCGACCGAGCAACGCCGCGUGAGUGAAGAAGGUUUUCGGGUCGUAAAGCUCUGUUGUAAGAGAAGAACGAGUGGGAGAGUGGAAAGUUCACGCUGUGACGGUAUCUUACCAGAAAGCGACGGCUAACUACGUG
This 495-nucleotide ribosomal RNA is filed under the name uncultured bacterium. RNAcentral describes it as "partial 16S ribosomal RNA". It matches the Rfam family "Bacterial small subunit ribosomal RNA", at positions 28 to 507 of the family's 1533-position model. The record is from RNAcentral.